RNAcentral lists this long non-coding RNA (439 nucleotides) under Nicotiana benthamiana. Its description in RNAcentral is "long non-coding RNA (NBEN_LNC015405)". The record is from RNAcentral. Lineage: Eukaryota; Viridiplantae; Streptophyta; Magnoliopsida; Solanales; Solanaceae.
GUUCAUCUUCAUCUUCUCUGGUUUUCUUCUUCAAAUCUCCAUGUUUUCAUGGUAUCAGAGCGGGGAAAUCUUCCGAUCCUUCUCUGUUACGCGUUAUCGAUGCUUGAUGAAGCUUUCGCUGAAAGUUUUCUUCGGUUAUCUGAGAAAAAUAUUUUUUUCGAUGAAUGUUAAUCGGUUAAUCGGGACUUUUAUGUCUGUUUGAGACUCCGAUCCUGUAUCAGUAGAUAUUUUGGGUGAUUUUCCGGCAUCUCUGACUUUGUUCCGACGAGUUCUUCAAAUUCUAGGGUUUUCCGACUUUCGGACCUAGAGUUUUGGUGUUAUCCGAUGACUUUUUCUUCGCUUGAUGGACGUUUUGGGUGAUUUUCCGGCGUCUAUGGCCUUACUCCGGUGAGUUUCAGAACCUAGGGUUUUCUUUGUUGAUUGAAGGCCGAUCUUCUCU